AUGGCUCGCCUAGUGAACGUAAGACCAGGACCAUACAGCGAGCCAGUCACCGAGGAAUUCAUCGAAGCAAACCGACAUAUUGCCGACGCACACUGCCGAACUGCCAAUAAUACCGGUUACUGCAUUAAGGACGUAUUUACCCGGUGCCCCGACUAUUACAAUAACUAUUAACCGCAGCGUCGGCUACAAUGAUGCGGGAUGGUACGAGUCGGAGCUGAAGAUUGCCUUUGCCAGAAUCUGCGAUACAACCGUCGGAGCCAUAAAAAUGCAACACGCGGCCGGCAACUGCUACGUAAAGGAUCGCAUUCUCUUCAGGUCCUGUUGCCAUCUGCGCCCGGAUGAUGAAUACGAGACACAUGGAAAUGUGACGAUUGCCCAUCAGAAACUGUGCCGGAGGUUCGAGCUAGUUGCGGAACGCAUGAACGGUCCGCAAGGGACGGCAAUGGCUGGAAAGUGUGGACAGGACGCC
Paramacrobiotus metropolitanus is the source of this 469-nucleotide long non-coding RNA. RefSeq lists it as uncharacterized. The transcript has 3 exons. The record is from RefSeq and is a predicted model, not a curated record. NCBI's taxonomy places the organism in Eukaryota, Metazoa, Tardigrada, Eutardigrada, Parachela, Macrobiotidae.